CCGAAGCGGGGGAUAACAUUUGGAAACAAGUGCUAAUACCGCAUAAUUAGUUGGAACCGCAUGGUUCCAACUUGAAAGAUGGCUCUGCUAUCACUUUGGGAUGGACCCGCGCCGUAUUAGUUAGUUGGUGAGAUAAAAGCCCACCAAGACGAUGAUACGUAGCCGACCUGAGAGGGUAAUCGGCCACAUUGGGACUGAGACACGGCCCAGACUCCUACGGGAGGCAGCAGUAGGGAAUCUUCCACAAUGGACGAAAGUCUGAUGGAGCAACGCCGCGUGAGUGAUGAAGGUUUUCGGAUCGUAAAACUCUGUUGUUAAAGAAGAACAAGUGUUAGAGUAACUGUUAACACUUUGACGGUAUUUAACCAGAAAGCCACGGCUAACUACGUGCCAGCAGCCGCGGUAAUACGUAGGUGGCAAGCGUUGUCCGGAUUUAUUGGGCGUAAAGCGAGCGCAGGCGGUUUUGUAAGUCUGCUGUGAAAGCCCUCAGCUCAACUGAGGAAGUGCAGUGGAAACUACAAAACUUGAGUACAGAAGAGGAAAGUGGAACUCCAUGUGUAGCGGUGAAAUGCGUA
This 575-nucleotide ribosomal RNA is filed under the name Apilactobacillus kunkeei. RNAcentral describes it as "bacterial SSU rRNA". It matches the Rfam family "Bacterial small subunit ribosomal RNA", at positions 131 to 692 of the family's 1533-position model. The record is from RNAcentral. Lineage: Bacteria; Bacillati; Bacillota; Bacilli; Lactobacillales; Lactobacillaceae.